GAUGAAGAACGCAGCGAAAUGCGAUAAGUAAUGUGAAUUGCAGAAAUCAGUGAAUCAUCGAAUCUUUGAACGCACAUUGCGCCCGCCAGUAUUCUGGCGGGCAUGCCUGUUCGAGCGUCAUUUCAACCAUCAAGCCCCAGGCUUGUGUUGGGGACCUGCGGCUGCCGCAGGCCCUGAAAACCAGUGGCGGGCUCGCUGUCACACCGGGCGUAGUAGAUUUUAUCUCGCUCAGGGCGUGCUGCGGGUUCCGGCCGUUAAAAAGCCUUUUUUACCCAAGGUUGACCUCGGAUCAGGUAGGAAGACCCGCUGAACUUAAGCAUAUCAAUAAGCGGAGGA
RNAcentral lists this unclassified non-coding RNA (336 nucleotides) under soil metagenome. Its description in RNAcentral is "partial contains 5.8S ribosomal RNA, internal transcribed spacer 2, and large subunit ribosomal RNA". The stretch from base 1 to 120 matches the Rfam family "5.8S ribosomal RNA", at positions 35 to 154 of the family's 154-position model. The record is from RNAcentral.